RNAcentral lists this ribosomal RNA (253 nucleotides) under uncultured bacterium. RNAcentral describes it as "partial 16S ribosomal RNA". It matches the Rfam family "Bacterial small subunit ribosomal RNA", at positions 524 to 776 of the family's 1533-position model. The record is from RNAcentral.
CACGUAGGGGACGAGCGUUGUCCGGAUUCAUUGGGCGUAAAGCGCGCGUAGGCGGCUCGGAAAGUCGGUCGUGAAAUGCCGGGGCUCAACCCCGGGACUGCGUCCGAUACUCCCGAGCUGGAGGCAGGUAGGGGAGAUCGGAAUUCCUGGUGUAGCGGUGAAAUGCGUAGAUAUCGGAAGGAACAUCAGUGGCGAAGGCGACUUCCUGGACCAAUACUGACGCUCAGGUGCGAAAGCGUGGGGAGCAAACAGG